AACACCAAAAGAGCAGCAGACAUUUUUUGUACAUUAGCAUUUUGGGCCGUGAAAUUUGGUCACAAAGCGACUUUGCACUAAAAAAUCUAAUUUUUUUCGACGAAAUAAAUAUAAAAAAAAAAAAAAAAACAAACAAGCAACAACUGGCAGCAAAAUGAAAUCAUAAACGAGGCAGUUGAAUAAUGAACAAAAAUUUGUCAAAAAUUGCUAAAAACCAGGCCAACGAACACUAAGGCCAUGGGCCAAGGGUCUUCCUCGAAGCACUCGCAGUGUUUAUGGCCAAAAAAGAAAAAGAAAAAAUAGUGGUAGAAGAAGCAGCAGCAGCAGCAGCAAAGGCAGAGGCAAAAGCCAAAUUUUUUGUGCCCGCCGUUGGCAACAACAACAACAGCAUCCCGUCAUUGGCAGGGGCAGUGGCAGGGGCAGGCAGUAGGCAGCCGGGCUACUAAUGUCGAGCAGUUCGCAGUUCUUUUUGGCCCGUUUUUAUGGUCCUGGGUCCAGUCUCUUUUUAUGAUGCUGCCUCGGCCAAUUUCCGUUUCCGAGUUUUCGACUCGGCAUUUAUGCAAAUACUCAGCGACAGAUGUGUGUGUGUGUGUGUGUGUGUUUGUAAAGUUAAUCCUUUAUGCAUGUGUCGACUGUUCGCAUAGCAGGAAGUUGACAGUUGGUGCCAUAUAUCAUAACUGUGUGUGUGCGUGUGUGUGAGUGUGCGAGUGUGUGUGCCUGUGCGCUGGGAAAUAUUCGGCCUGGGCCUUUCAUGUGACUCACUGACUGCCCAACUAUCCGUCUGUUUGUGUUUUUAUCUAUUUAUUUAUUUGUUUUUAGUACACUUAUGACAUGAUGUUAAUUACUGCGCGUGCAUUCCGAUUGGCUAUGGGAAACACUUUGAAAUGGAAAAGUUCGCCGACUGUUUGCCAAGUGUCAACAGCGGCGUUGCCAGUUGCCAAACGGCCAAGAAAGCUGCCAGUUCCAGACAGAAACAGAACACUAAGUACAACAACAACAACAACAACUAACAACUGUCAACAGACAGACACGCGUGCAACAUGGAGUCGGGAAUUUUGUUCUUGGCCAGGAUAUUUGAUUUAGCCGGUUGACUUUGCAUUUGUCUCGUCUGUUGUUUUUAAGAAUUGGGAAAAUUGACGAAAAAUUGUUGUGUAAAUAUUUUUUAAUUGGCUUUCGUCGGCACAGUAGUGACUUUUACCAUUAGUCCACCGGGUAGAAGUCAAAAAUAACCAAAAAGUGUGCCACUAAGCUGGCCAAGGUCUAUGCCAAAUCCUGCUCCUAGUCGGGGACUUGGUCGGUGUUCGGUUGUGGCUUAAUGCAAUGAUAAUAACAUAUGGAAAAGUUGUUGUUUAAUUGUUGGAUUUGCGGCAUUCGUUAAUGUGUGGUAAAACCGGCAAAGAAAUGAAUGUGGGCAACAGAAGUUGGAAAACUAAGUUCAAGAAAGGAACUUGCUUACAAAUGUUAACGAAUGUUAAAAUAAUAUAAAUAUGCCCAAAUAAUAAACGUACCCUAUUAACAUCAGAUAUGGAAAA
Drosophila virilis is the source of this 1532-nucleotide non-coding RNA. The record is from RefSeq and is a predicted model, not a curated record. NCBI's taxonomy places the organism in Eukaryota, Metazoa, Arthropoda, Insecta, Diptera, Drosophilidae.